RNAcentral lists this ribosomal RNA (484 nucleotides) under uncultured Acidobacteriota bacterium. RNAcentral describes it as "bacterial SSU rRNA". It matches the Rfam family "Bacterial small subunit ribosomal RNA", at positions 24 to 507 of the family's 1533-position model. Lineage: Bacteria; Pseudomonadati; Acidobacteriota. The record is from RNAcentral.
UCAGAGCGAACGCUGGCGGCGUGCUUAACACAUGCAAGUCGAGUGCGCGUCUGUAGCAAUACAGAUGGCGCACGGCGCACGGGUGCGUAACACGUGGGUAAUCUGCCCUUCGAUGGGGAAUAACUCCGGGAAACCGAAGCUAAUUCCGCAUAACAUUCCUUGAACCUCGGUUUGGGGACUCAAAGCCGUAAGGGCGUCGGAGGAGGAACCCGCGCACGAUUAGUUAGUUGGCAGGGUAACGGCCUACCAAGACUUUGAUCGUUAGCUGGUCUGAGAGGAUGGCCAGCCACACUGGAACUGAGACACGGUCCAGACUCCUACGGGAGGCAGCAGUGGGGAAUCUUGCACAAUGGGCGAAAGCCUGAUGCAUCGACGCCGCGUGGGGGAUGAAGCUUUUCGGAGUGUAAACCCCUUUUCGACCCGGACGAAUGUCCCCGCAAGGGGACUGACGGUACGGGUAUAAGAAGCCCCGGCUAACUACGUG